This 706-nucleotide ribosomal RNA is filed under the name uncultured bacterium. RNAcentral's name for it is "bacterial SSU rRNA". It matches the Rfam family "Bacterial small subunit ribosomal RNA", at positions 805 to 1512 of the family's 1533-position model. The record is from RNAcentral.
AACGAUGAAUACUAGGUGUAGGAGGUAUCGACUCCUUCUGUGCCGCAGUUAACACAAUAAGUAUUCCGCCUGGGGAGUACGGUCGCAAGAUUAAAACUCAAAGGAAUUGACGAGGGCCCGCACAAGCAGCGGAGCAUGUGGUUUAAUUCGAAGCAACGCGAAGANCCUUACCUAGACUUGACAUCUUCUNCAUUAAUCGUAAUGGAUGAAAUCCCUUCGGGGACAGAAUGACAGGUGGUGCAUGGUUGUCGUCAGCUCGUGUCGUGAGAUGUUGGGUUAAGUCCCGCAACGAGCGCAACCCCUAUUAUUAGUUGCUAACAUUAAGUUGAGCACUCUAGUGAGACUGCCCGGGUUAACCGGGAGGAAGGUGGGGAUGACGUCAAAUCAUCAUGCCCCUUAUGUCUAGGGCUACACACGUGCUACAAUGGUGGGAACAAAGAGAUGCAAUACCGCAAGGUGGAGCUAAACUCAAAACCCCAUCCCAGUUCGGAUUGUAGGCUGAAACUCGCCUACAUGAAGCUGGAGUUGCUAGUAAUCGCGAAUCAGAAUGUCGCGGUGAAUACGUUCCCGGGCCUUGUACACACCGCCCGUCACACCAUGAGAGUCGGCAACACCCGAAGCCCGUGAGGCAACCUUUUGGAGCCAGCGGUCGAAGGUGGGGUUGAUGAUUGGGGUGAAGUCGUAACAAGGUAGCCGUAGGAGAACC